Long non-coding RNA from Phalaenopsis equestris, 396 nucleotides. RefSeq lists it as uncharacterized. The record is from RefSeq and is a predicted model, not a curated record. The transcript has 3 exons. Lineage: Eukaryota; Viridiplantae; Streptophyta; Magnoliopsida; Asparagales; Orchidaceae.
GAAGCAUGCGCAUUUAGCACCAUUUGGUGUAGGUUUGCUUGAGGCUUAUAAAAAUCUUCAUCUUCUAAUGAGAAAGCGGAGGUUUGAAAACUCCAAAUGGUUUCUAAAAGCCUUGUAACAAUUUCAUCAUCCAUUUUGCUCGAAAUGGUUUUCCUGCUGUUAUUGUCCUCGAGAUUUGGCUGAGAAUCACUUGCUGAAGUUUGAGGAAACUUCCUCUCCCUGCAGAGCCGGCCGCCACAUUUUCCUUCUGCAACCUUUCCCGCCAUUGGAAUUUCCUCCCGCAGCUUUCUGGUCGCUGAAAUUCCUCCUGCAGCCAACCAGGCCAUCCCAAUGGAGUUAUUUGUAACUGUAGAAGGCUGUGCCCGAUGAUGCAGAAGAGCGGCGAUACGCGUGCAA